AAUCAACGCUGGCGGCGUGCCUAACACAUGCAAGUCGAACGCGAAAGGGGGCUUCGGCUCCUAAGUAGAGUGGCGUCCGGGUGAGUAACACGUAGGUAAUCUGCCUUCGGGUGGGGAAUAACCAGUCGAAAGAUUGGCUAAUACCGCAUAAUGCAGCGGCACCUAAUGGUGAUUAGUUGUUAAAGCGGGGGAUCGUAAGACCUCGCGCCUGAAGAGGAGCCUGCGGCAGAUUAGCUAGUUGGUGAGGUAAUGGCUCACCAAGGCUUCGAUCUGUAGCUGGUCUGAGAGGACGGCCAGCCACACUGGCACUGACACACGGGCCAGACUCCUACGGGAGGCAGCAGUGGGGAAUUUUGGGCAAUGGGCGAAAGCCUGACCCAGCAACGCCGCGCGAGGGAGGAAAUCCUUCGGGAUGUAACCUCACAAGCAAGGAGAGAGCUCAGGGCCGAAUAAGCUUUGAGUCCGACGGUACCUUGCGUAAGCCACGGCUAACUACGUGCC
This 501-nucleotide ribosomal RNA is filed under the name uncultured bacterium. RNAcentral describes it as "bacterial SSU rRNA". It matches the Rfam family "Bacterial small subunit ribosomal RNA", at positions 32 to 509 of the family's 1533-position model. The record is from RNAcentral.